This 420-nucleotide ribosomal RNA is filed under the name uncultured bacterium. RNAcentral describes it as "bacterial SSU rRNA". It matches the Rfam family "Bacterial small subunit ribosomal RNA", at positions 359 to 776 of the family's 1533-position model. The record is from RNAcentral.
GAAUUUUGGACAAUGGGGGCAACCCUGAUCCAGCGACGCCGCGUGGAGGACGAAGGUCUUCGGAUUGUAAACUCCUUUUGAAGGGGAAGAAUGCCCCUGUGAAGAGCAGGGGGUGACGGUACCCUUUGAAUAAGCCACGGCUAACUACGUUCCAGCAGCCGCGGUAAUACGUAGGUGGCAAGCGUUACUCGGAAUCACUAGGCGUAAAGCGCAGGUAGGCGGUUUGGCAAGUCCGUUGUGAAAGCUCCCGGCUUAACUGGGAGAGGUCAACGGAAACUGCUGGGCUAGAGUGUGGUAGAGGAAACUAGAAUUCCCGGUGUAGCGGUUAAAUGCGUAGAUAUCGGGAGGAAUACCUAUGGCGAAAGCAGGUUUCUGGGCCACCACUGACGCUGAGCUGCGAAAGCUAGGGGAGCAAACAGG